GCUCAGUAACACGUGGACAAUCUGCUCUUAGGUGGAGGAUAACCUCGGGAAACUGAGGACAAUACUCCAUAGGUGAGAAGCUCUGGAAUGAGUCUUGCUCAAAGGCGCCAGCCUGUUCCGGCUGGUUGUGCCUAAGAAGGAGUCUGCGGCGGAUUAGGUUGAUGUUAGGGUAAUGGCCUAACAUGCCCACGAUCUGUAUCGGCUAUGAGAGUAGGAGCCGGGAGAUGGAUACUGAGACAAGGAUCCAGGCCCUACGGGGCGCAGCAGGCGCGAAAUCUUCGCAAUGUGCUAACGCACGACGAGGGAACCCCAAGUACUCUUGUACAACAAGAGUUUUUGCGGAGUGUAAAAAGCUCCGAGAAUAAGGGCUGGGUAAGGCUGGUGCCAGCCUCCGCGGUAAAACCAGCAGCUCUAGUGGUACUCGCGUUUAUUGGGCUUAAAGCGUACGUAGUCGGUUCGGCAAGUUCCCUGUGAAAUCCUGUGACUCAAUUACAGGGCCUGCGGGGAAUACUACCGGGCUAGGAACCGGGAUAGGUCAGGGGUAUUCCUUGGGUAGCGGUGAAAUGCUAUAAUCCAAGGAGGACCACCAAUAGCGAAGGCACCUGUCUGGAACGGGUUCGACGAUGAGGGACGAAAGCUAGGGGAGCAAACGGGAUUAAAUACCCCGGUAGUCCUAGCCGUAAACGAUGCAGACUAAGUGUUUCUCGAACUUUGCGUUCGAGAAGCGUUGAAGGGAAACCGUUAAGUCUGCCGUCUGGGGAGUACGGUCGCAAGGCUGAAACUUAAAGGAAUUGGCGGGGGAGCACCACAAGGGGUGGAGUCUGCGGUUUAAUUGGAUACAACGCCGGGAAACUUACCAGGGGCGACGGCAGGAUGACGGCCAGGCUGAAGGUCUUGCCAGACGAGCCGAGAGGUAGUGCAUGGCCGCCGUCAGCUCGUACCGUAAGGCGUGCGGUUAAGUCCGUUAACGAGCGAGACC
Molecule: ribosomal RNA, 979 nt
Filed under: uncultured archaeon
Lineage: Archaea
Description: bacterial SSU rRNA
Rfam family: Archaeal small subunit ribosomal RNA
Source: RNAcentral